UUCCGGUUGAUCCCGCCGGAGGCUACCGCUAUUGGAGUUCGAUUAAGCCAUGCGAGUCGCGAGUCUUAGGGACUCGGCGUACCGCUCAGUAACACGUGGGUAACCUGCCCUAUGCUGGGGGAUAACCUCGGGAAACUGAGAAUAAUACCCCAUAGUUCACCACGCCUGGAACGGUGGGUGGACCAAAGCUCCGGCGGCAUAGGAUGGGCCUGCGGCGUAUCAGGUUGUAGGGGGUGUAAUGUACCCUCUAGCCCUCUACGCGUACGGGUGUUGAGAGACAUCGCCCGGAGAUGGAUUCUGAGACACGAAUCCAGACCCUACGGGGUGCAGCAGGCGCGAAAACUUGGCAAUGCGAGAAAUCGUGACCAGGGAACUCCAAGUGCAUCGGGUAAGACCGAUGCUUUUCUUGACUCUUCAAAGGUCUUGGAAUAAGGGGUGGGUAAGGACGGUGCCAGCCGCCGCGGUAAUACCGGCGCCCCAAGUGGUAGUCGCUUUUAUUGGGCCUAAAACGUCCGUAGCCGGUCUGGUACAUUCGUGGGUAAAUCAACCAGCUCAACUGGUUGAAUUCUGCGAGCACGGCCAGACUUGGGACCGGGAGAGGUGUGGGGUACUCUCAGGGUAGGGGUAAAAUCCUGUCAUCCUGAGGGGACCACCUGUUGCGAAGGCGCCACACUAGAACGGAUCCGACGGUCAGGGACGAAGCCUAGGGGCACGAACCGGAUUAGAUACCCGGGUAGUCCUAGGUGUAAACGCUGUGGACUUGAUGUUGGGGGCGCUCCGAGCGCACUCAGUGUCGAAGCGAAGGUGAUAAGUCCACUGCCUGGGGAGUACGGACGCAAGGCUGAAACUUAAAGGAAUUGGCGGGGGAGCACCGCAACCUGAGGAUUGUGCGGUUUAAUUGGAGUCAACGCCGGG
Molecule: ribosomal RNA, 915 nt
Filed under: uncultured archaeon
Lineage: Archaea
Description: bacterial SSU rRNA
Rfam family: Archaeal small subunit ribosomal RNA
Source: RNAcentral